RNAcentral lists this ribosomal RNA (572 nucleotides) under uncultured Planctomycetota bacterium. RNAcentral's name for it is "bacterial SSU rRNA". It matches the Rfam family "Bacterial small subunit ribosomal RNA", at positions 347 to 927 of the family's 1533-position model. The record is from RNAcentral. Lineage: Bacteria; Pseudomonadati; Planctomycetota.
GGCUGCAGUCGAGGAUCUUCGGCAAUGGGCGCAAGCCUGACCGAGCGACGCCGCGUGGAGGAUGAAGGCCUUCGGGUUGUAAACUCCUGUCGAGGGGGAGGAAGGGGAAACCUUGACCGAUCCCUGGAGGAAGCACGGGCUAGGUUCGUGCCAGCAGCCGCGGUAAGACGAACCGUGCGAACGUUAUUCGGAAUCACUGGGCUUAAAGCGCGUGUAGGCGGAUGGGAACGUCGGAUACUGAAAGCCCCCGGCUCAACCGGGGAAGUGGUUCCGAAACGACCUGUCUGGAGGGACGUAGGGGGAUCUGGAACUUCCGGUGGAGCGGUGAAAUGCGUUGAGAUCGGAAGGAACGCCCGUGGCGAAAGCGAGGUCCUGGACGUCUGCUGACGCUGAGACGCGAAAGCUAGGGGAGCAAACGGGAUUAGAUACCCCGGUAGUCCUAGCCGUAAACGAUGGGCACUGGGUAGGGGGCUCGCCGAUGGGCUCUCUGCCGUAGCGAAAGCGUGAAGUGCCCCGCCUGGGGAGUAUGGUCGCAAGGCUGAAACUCAAAGGAAUUGACGGGGGCUCACACA